This 460-nucleotide ribosomal RNA is filed under the name uncultured bacterium. RNAcentral describes it as "partial 16S ribosomal RNA". It matches the Rfam family "Bacterial small subunit ribosomal RNA", at positions 338 to 795 of the family's 1533-position model. The record is from RNAcentral.
ACUACGGGUGGCAGCAGUGAGGAAUAUUGGUCAAUGGACGAGAGUCUGAACCAGCCAAGUAGCGUGAAGGAUGACUGCCCUAUGGGUUGUAAACUUCUUUUAUAAAGGAAUAAAACGAGGCACGUGUGCCUUUUUGCAUGUACUUUAUGAAUAAGGAUCGGCUAACUCCGUGCCAGCAGCCGCGGUAAUACGGAGGAUCCGAGCGUGAUCCGGAUUUAUUGUGUUUAAAGGGAGCGUAGAUGGGUUGUUAAGUCAGUUGUGAAAGUUUGCGGCUCAACCGUAAAAUUGCAAUUGAUACUGGGAGUCUUGAGUACAGUUGAGGGAUGCGGAAUUCGUGGUGUAGCGGUGAAAUGCUUAGAUAUCACGAAGAACCCCGAGUGCGAAGGCAGCUUACUAAACUGUGACUGACACUGAUGCUCGAAAGUGUGGGUAUCAAACAGGAUUAGAUACCCGAGUAGUC